UACGUAGGAGGCAAGCGUUGUCCGGAAUCACUGGGCGUAAAGCGCGUGUAGGCGGAUCGCUAAGUCUGUGGUGAAAGCGCCUGGCUUAACCGGGCGAGGUCCAUGGAAACUAGCGGUCUGGAGGCCGGUAGAGGGGGGUGGAAUUCCGGGUGUAGUGGUGAAAUGCGUAGAGAUCCGGAGGAACACCAGUGGCGAAGGCGGCCCCCUGGGCCGCGCCUGACGCUGAGACGCGAAAGCGCGGGGAGCAAACGGG
Molecule: ribosomal RNA, 253 nt
Filed under: uncultured bacterium
Lineage: Bacteria
Description: partial 16S ribosomal RNA
Rfam family: Bacterial small subunit ribosomal RNA
Source: RNAcentral